GCCGCGUUUCAGUAGGGUCGAGCAAGUGGGAAUUUGUCCUUCCCUGCUGGCGGCCGGGCUCCAGGGCACGGUUCUGCCUGUCUUUCUGGCCCUGAAUUGGGAAGGUUUUUAUCCAGGGAGCACGAGUGUGCGCCCCUGAUUUGAGUGUGACAGCGGGAGCGUCCCCAAGGCUGCGGUCGGGCGUCGAAAGUGCUUGGGUGCGGUGUGGCUUGUGCUGCUGGCGGCCUGAUGUGGCCGUCACGGGUCUUGUGGAGCCGCGCGUGGUGUGUGCGUGCUGAGGGACACGCCGUGGAUCUGCGCUCUGGAAGCACCCCGUGAGCGAAAGAGGAAUUGAGGAUAAAUACAUGGAUACCGGGAUACUCCACUCCAACGAGAACAUAGGAAUGCCAAGAAUGAAAAGUGCAACCUGAAAACUGAUGAGUCCUUUGAGGAAAUCCGCGGACUAUUCUACAAAGCUGAUAAUCACAAAUAUUUCUGUCACUCCCUGAGCAAAUCCCUCAUCCUCAGAGUUGGACGGUUGCCUCUCUCUUGCUUUUGCUCAGCUGAACAGUAUCUUCCUCUCCUUUUGGAGUGUGCAAAAGCAGACGACGCUAGCUUACCUUUGCUUUCCUCAAAGGCCAUAUGUGAGACCAACAGCAAGGGCUUCUGCCAGUCCUCUUCGGAAAUGCUAAUGGAGAACAAAAAUGCAAGAGAGUAACCGAAGAGGGGGCUUUCCAAAGGCUCAGAGCAGAUGCAUAUUGGAAAGAGAAGAGUCUUAGUAAUUCCAAGCCUCCUCUUGCAUUAACCAGGAUUUGGGCCAAGUAUCAGGCAUGCUCUCAAGAGCCUAUUCCAAAGGGUCAGUAAUGCAGAUCAACAGGGGCUUCACACCAUGAACAGAAGGAAGAUGUGGCCCUAACUGAAGAUUUCCCAAAGAGGAGCUUUAAAUGAUACAAUAAACGUUGGCCAAAGCCCAACUGCGAUGCAUCAGUACAGCAGCAGGGGAGAGAGAAGCAAAGGGGAUCGAACCGCGUUCAGUGCGAAGGCAAGUACCCAUUUGUACUGACUGAACUGCUGUACUCCCGUCCCUCCACAGGGACCCGGACAAAAUGGAUGGAGCUAAAGGACUUCGCAGGAGCCAUUGCCUUUUUGUCUCUGGUACACAAAGUGCAUUUGGUGCGUGUCAUGGGCAAUGACAGCAGUAGGUGAUCAGGUUAUUGGAUGACAGACCUGGUCACACAGGUCUAGUGAGAUUCUUCCCUUGCGUGCUGUGCACGCUAAGGCGGAGAGUGUUUGGGUCCCUAUUGUAUGUACACAAAGGCAGACUGUUGUCUGCAAGUGGGACAUUUGGGCUCAGAGUGUAAUUCUGGACUAUGUUUUUCUCCUUGGGAUAUUUCUGAACUGCAGUCAGCAUGCUCCCCACUAGAAAGUGACAUGUCGGAGCCACCCUCUCUUGUUGAAAACUUGGUAAAACGUCUGUACAAUAUUACGGUCACCAAAAUAUGUCUAAAACUAAUUGGUUGCAUGUGGGAUAGAUUGCUUUAAUAUAAAGAACUGAAUGCACUGAAGACCUGCCAGAGGUUAUGGAAAAGAUCAAAGGAGGUCAGAUAAAAGGCCAAAUGUAGCUUUAGUGAGAGCAGUUGUGAUUGUAUGCACUUCAGUGGCAAGGCUCCUGCCAGCUGCCGUGGCUGUGAUCUUUCAUCGGGUGCACGUAGGCAGGCCUCAUCGCCAGGGCCCGCACUUGACAGCCGUGUCCAUCCUUGCAUGUUAACAUUACGUCCCAGGCAGCUGCAUGGUUUGGUCUUCAACAGAGCCAGCAAUUCAGUGCAAGAGCUCAAAUGUUUCAGUCCUCUGGGAAGUAAAAAUGUCACUUGGGACAUUUAUAAAUUAAAUAUCUUAAACAAUUGUCAGAAACCCCAUAAAACAGUCAAGAAAGAGGCACCAACCUUCCUGGUAGCACUGCCACCCUCCCAUUUCCCCAUUGAUGGUAACCACUGCAGAGCUGUUGCCAUCACUUUGUUCCCACACUCAAUAGCCCCACUUUAAGGCCAGGAAUUCACUGUACUGCAAAGAGAAGACAUUGCAGUGCAUGUUGAAAAACAAGCCCCCUGGGUGCAGAGCCCUCAGGGCUUUGCACAAUAUCUCACUUACCUUCAUAGCCUGCUCAGAUGUAAUUGUGUGGUGCAGCUCCAUAGUACUAUUAUAUCAGAUAUAAAACAGUUUUGGAAAUAGACUUAGUGGAAUUCUCAUAGUAUGUUUGCAUUAACAUGAGAUAUAUUUCAAGCCCCCCCAAAUGCCAUGAACUUACUUUUCCAAUCAGUUAAUUGUAUCAGCUGUUCUUUGUUGGUUUGUUGCUGUCUCAAAGCAUCCAGAACAGCUGUAAUCAGUGUUUAAAAGCAGAGAGUGUUGCUGAACCUGGAGCAAGGACAAUUUCAGUGCAGAGCUUCAGCAAAUAUCACGAAGUAAGAUCAAGGCAUCAGCCCCUGCGGAGGCCACAGCCAGGAGAGACUCCUGCUCUGCAGGGUUGCUCAUUACACAGUCAACAGCUCAUACUGCAUCAAGUAACCUUUUAUGAGGCUCAGCCUAUGAGAUGGGAGAUGCAAGAUACAGCUUACUAGACAAUACAAGAUGGUGCUAUUUGGCACAUGAAGGUCCGACUCUGAGACUUGGGCUCGAUUUCCACUUAAAAAUGUUGUGGGCAUAGCUAUACUGGUCAGGAAGGAGAAAGGCAGUGUGCUUUUGAGCAAUGCAAUUACAUUGGCAAGAACCCUUGUGCAAACAACUGCACUCACAGGUGAGUCUCCUUCCUUGUGUUGUGUGCUGCCGCAGCAAAUGCUUGGGUUGGUCUGAGGUGACCAUCCCUCAGGAGCGCUCUCCAGCCUGGCUUACCCAGCAAGUCCCUUCCAGGUUGAUGCUUUCAAGCUUAUCAAGGUUUUGCCAGCUAGGGGAAGGCAAGGAAGAAGGGCUGCAUCUCAGGGCUGUAGUGUCACUGAGUAACCUCAUGAGGGAGUUUACCUGAGCCUCCUCUUUCUCCUCGCCAGCAGACCCAGGUAAGGCUGAAAAGAGCGAGGUGCACGGUGGAACAGCAGAACCUUGCCAGGAGUCAAGUUUGCCCUGCACCGGGUUUCCAAAGGCUUUUGGAGCACUUCCAACGUGUGUGAAAGCCUCUGUGCCUGGCUUGGACAGUUCAGGGCUGGUCUUCCCUGAUGGGCUCCUAAUGAAUUAUCCUCUCCUAUUACAUGUACGAGGAACUCUUGAGAUAAACACAAGCCCUGUAAUUAUGGUGCUUGUGUUAGCAAAUUAGACCAAGCUGAGCCAAAGGGUCUUACCAAGGUAUUAGAUGCUGCUGCGUUAUACGCUUUUUUUCAAAAACUACCCAACAGGAGAGAACUCUGCCACCGUCACAAAGUGAAAAGCUUGGCAGUGUGCUGGGAGGGCAGCUACCUUGUCUGAGUGUCUAGAUCCCUGUCCAAAAAUUGCUGUCCGUAGGAAUAAAGAUUCAAUGGCUGAGGACCCUUAAACACAGGCCCCCGACUGAAUUUAUGAGCGCAUUUUAAAGCCUUUCAUUUCUUCAAAUAACAGUGUGUAUUUAGACACCUGUAAAAAGGUUUUGCCCACUUGGCACUCGCCUGCCCAAAGCGGCUCAUUAAGGACUUGCCUUGAUGCCCGGGCAGAGGCUAGCCUGGUGCUGAGCACUCCAAAAUUGCCUCUUUAGCUCCAAUUCUGUUUGUUUUAUCGUCUUUACAGAGCAAGCCAUUUAAAAGCCACCUUCUGAAGGGCUGUGUACUAAAAACUACCAAACACUUGAUGGUGCUAAGUGGUGACUCAAAUUGGUGUUAUUUUUCUCCUAUGAGCCACUCAGCGAAGCAGAGCCAGCGUGACUGGAGCGUUCCUCCGACCUGCGCAUGUGACUUUGAAUUGCUUCAGCGUUCUUGGAGUAGGGCAGAGACGUAGGUGCCUCGUAAGCGGUGAGAAAGAAGUCCAUUAUGAGCAGAAGCCAUGAAUUAUAGUCAGCCCUUUUGUUAAUUAAUGCUUCAUUACUUAGUGCUAAUUUAGCAAAUGAGUGCCAUAAUAGUUUAAUCAAGGCUAGAGAGAGGGGAAGGUGUACAAUAUCAGUGGGGAUCGACUGUUAUGUAUGUGGGGCUGGGGGCUGCUGCCUUGUAGGGGUAAGGUGCAGCUUGGCCAUUCAGCAGCGUCCUGCCAGGGCUGGUGCGAGUGUUCUUGCAUUGCCCAACGUUGCCAACGUUGCCACUAGUCAGCCAAGCGGCUGCAGCUUGCCGCUGUGGGAAGUUGCCGCUCUCAUCAAAUCCCUGAAGGCAGGGUAUUUUGGGCUUCACUGUGAGCAAAGAGAUCCUGAUACGCUGGUGUUCAUAUAAAGCAUAUUGAAGAAGCUGGCAGAAGCCUGUCAGAGAGGGGGAGACUCUCGCUCUUAGUGGUGGAGACAGAGGAGGCCAAGCCAUCUACCAUGAAAUAUGUGUCUGCAGUGUCCCCUUGCAAAUGUACGGUGAAUAAGAGUAAAACCCUUUCAGAGCCUGUAAUGGCAGCAGCAGAGUGGCCUGGUGAUAUUUUUCCAGCUUCUACUUGCUGCCAUUGUUUUCCUGCAUCCAGCCUGUGUGUGCCCUUGACAAAACACCGGAUUCCCCCCUGCUUCCAGACAAGAAGUUUAAGUGCAACAAGCAAUGGCCUUUUUCUGUUGGGGUGCUGCCUGCUUAGUAAAGAGAGUGAACUCUCUGCCCAGGAGCUUAGAUGCCUACUCUCAGAAAAUGUGAAAACCUUCCCAUGCUUUUGCGGUUCUCAGGGGUACCAAGCAAGGGAGCUAUGCGCUGAGCUUGCACCUUUGGCUACCGUUGCCUGUAGCCUGGCCCAGGCCCUUCCAAGAGAUGCAUCUCCUCCAGUGCCCAUCGCACCAAGUCCAAUUGAGCCCCGGCGCUUUCACCUAACACAUUUUUGAGUUUUCAUCCUGAAACAUUAUCGCAACUAAGAGCUAUUCGGUUGACCCUGUGUGUAUCUCAUGUACUGCUGCAAACUACAGUUAAACUAAGAAAUUACCGACUGAAAUAGUGGUCCAAAGGAAGCAGCAAUUAUGUAUCUAUUGUCUGACUGCUGCUUUUUUGCAGCGGAGAUGACUCCUUGACAUUAGGCCUAUGGAGUCUGCCCGUUAAUAGUAGUUUUAAAUGGUCAAGAGGUUACAGCAGUAAGGAAUGUUAGUAAAAAUGUCUCUGUGGAGUUUAAACAACCAGUAUUUUAGGCAGGACUUGGUGGGUUACUGUCCCUGCACAAACAACUAGAAUGUGAGAGUUUGGGCUGGGAAAUACUUAAACUGUUUGGAAAAACUUGUUUUGUGCAGCUUGAGAGUGUCCCUGGAGGCUGUGGCCCAAUGCCAUGACUCCUGGUAAAGGCUGGGCUGCAGUAACAAUGAAGCUUUUAUGGGGAAGCUGGAGUACAAUCAGAAACUUUUUGGUCCCGAGGGAUUAUGGGGAGGGGAGUUCCUGGGUUCAAGAUGUCUGGCACAUUAUGCACAUUUCCACCAGGAUUUGGGGGUGUUCUGUGGCAUGCAAGGUAUGCAAAUUGCCAAAUGUGUUUUCAAUUUUGCUGUGUUGUGCUGUGUUUGUUGGGUGAUCGUUUUCUCUUUAGUGUAGCUAUAAGAGAGGAUGGGUUCAUAAUGUGAGAGGACAAGUCCGGUUGUCUCCCAAGCAGUAGUGACCUAUGAAGAGCUUGUAUUUCUGAUUCUCUAGCAUAUUCCUGACUGGGUGGCUAGAGAAAGCAAUCAAUCCUGGGUUAUUAGUUAAUUAAACAUCCUCCAGUAAGAAGUGUCCUGAAGUGAAAGGUAUUGUUGAAUGAUUCCAUUCCUUACCGAAGUGAUCAGAACGUGUGCACAGAAACUAUCUUGUUUCAUGUGGCUAUUACUUAACCAUAAUCUUUUGCAUGCUUUAUAUAGCAGAUGUCAGCAAGAGGUCUAGCAAGUUAUUGAAGUAUCCACUCAGUCAGCAGCAUAGUGUCAAUUCAGACUUUCUUAGAAGGCAUCACACUGCUGCAAAUUAGUUGGAAGGCUUUGUUUGCUACAGGACAGAAGGCAUUUCCUGUUAGACGUAGGUUUCCGUUACAGAUGGCAUUAAAUGAAAGAAGAAAACAUGGCUGGAUGGACCCAAAGAAUCACCUUUCUUACAUGCUAAGGAAGAGAUAAGGGUGCAUUUGUGAAGCGUGUGGGCUGAACUAGCACUGCCAGGAUGUAUCUGUUCUGGGAAUACUAAAUUUGAUCCAAUGCCUGUUGCAAAUCAUUUAGAAGGGUCCUACUGGUUUCAGUAGACUGGAAGGGACUGUCCAGAGGCCGAGGAGCUGCUAACCAGCAUCAUACAAACAAUUAGUUCCUCAUUAGGCUGCCUUGCAGCAUCGAGGCUGGGUCCCACAUGCUCCACGCGCAGGUGAGGGCAGCUAAGGGCCAGCCGAGCUCUGGGGUCUGUUCAGCUCGGCAAGGGGGAUGGGCCUCGGCACGAACAGGCUAAGAGGAUGGAAGUAAAUUGUAUUUUAUUUUAUUUAUUUAGAUUAAAAAAGUUUGUUACCAAACUGAAACUGCCC
Long non-coding RNA from Struthio camelus australis, 6552 nucleotides. RefSeq lists it as uncharacterized. Lineage: Eukaryota; Metazoa; Chordata; Aves; Struthioniformes; Struthionidae. The record is from RefSeq and is a predicted model, not a curated record.